RNAcentral lists this ribosomal RNA (750 nucleotides) under Sarea resinae. RNAcentral describes it as "SSU rRNA". It matches the Rfam family "Bacterial small subunit ribosomal RNA", at positions 1 to 1194 of the family's 1533-position model. Lineage: Eukaryota; Fungi; Ascomycota; Sareomycetes; Sareales; Zythiaceae. The record is from RNAcentral.
AUGUAUAGUAUAUACUAAUUGUAUUUUAAAUACAAUAUCGACUAUGUCGAAUAAAGUUCUAGAUAGAAUACUGAUAAUGACAAUUUUCUAUCUAUAUGUCUUGACCAAAUCACGUGCCAGCAGUCGCGGUAAUACGUGGAAGACUAGUGUUAUUCAUCUUUAAUAGGUUUAAAGGGUACCUAGACUGUAUUUCUAGCCCAAAUAGGGUACGGAUUUACUAGAGUUUAAUGUAAGAAGAAAAAAUUAAGAGUGAAAUUUUAAUUUCAUUUUUUGUAGUACUUGAAGUGUAGAGAUAAAAUUUUGUAAUACUUUAAGGAAACUGGUGAUGCGAAAGCAACCUUCUAUGUAUAAACUGACGUUGAGGGACGAAGGCUUGGGUCGCGAAUAGGAUUAGAUACCCUAGUAGUCCAAGCAGAAAAUUAUGAAUGUCAUAGAUCAGAUAUAUUUUGGUUUAUAAAUGAAAGUGUAAGCAUUCCACCUCAAGAGUAAUGCGGCAACGCAGGAACUGAAAUCAUUAGACCGUUUCUGAAACCAGUAGUGAAGUAUGUUAUUUAAUUCGAUAAUCCGCGAAAAACCUUACCACAAUUUGAAUAUAAAAAUUACAAGCGCUGCACGGCUGUCUUCAGUUAAUGUCGUGAGAUUUUGGUUAGUUCCAUUAAAUUAACGUAAACCCUUGCUUUAUUUAUAAUAUUUAUAUAAAGUAGCUCACCGCUAUAUUGGAUAUGAUAAAAGGGAAUAAGACAAGUCAUC